UGGUGGAGCGAUCUGUCUGGUUAAUUCCGAUAACGAACGAGACUCUAGCCUAUUAAAUAGUUCGCCGAUUCCACUCGUCGGUGCAACUUCUUAGAGGGACAAGUGGCGUUUAGCCACACGAGAUUGAGCAAUAACA
This 136-nucleotide ribosomal RNA is filed under the name uncultured eukaryote. RNAcentral describes it as "partial 18S ribosomal RNA". It matches the Rfam family "Eukaryotic small subunit ribosomal RNA", at positions 1299 to 1458 of the family's 1831-position model. The record is from RNAcentral.